Molecule: microRNA precursor, 115 nt
Filed under: Mus caroli (Ryukyu mouse)
Lineage: Eukaryota; Metazoa; Chordata; Mammalia; Rodentia; Muridae
Description: miRNA (MGP_CAROLIEiJ_G0007932.1)
Source: RNAcentral
AACUGAAUGUCAACCACAUGGUAAAGAUUUUACACACACACACACAUAUAUAUAUAUAUAUACAUGUGUGUGUAUAUAUGUGUGUAUAUAUAUAUAUAUGUGUGUAUAUAUAAUA